RNAcentral lists this ribosomal RNA (244 nucleotides) under uncultured bacterium. RNAcentral's name for it is "partial 16S ribosomal RNA". It matches the Rfam family "Bacterial small subunit ribosomal RNA", at positions 524 to 762 of the family's 1533-position model. The record is from RNAcentral.
UACGUAGGGUGCGAGCGUUGUCCGGAAUUACUGGGCGUAAAGAGUUCGUAGGCGGUUUGUCGCGUCGUUUGUGAAAACCCGGGGCGUCAACUUACGGGCGUUGCAGGCGAUACGGGCGAGACUUGAGUGUUUCUAGGGGAGACUGGAAUUCCUGGUGUAGCGGUGAAAUGCGCAGAUAUCAGGAGGAACACCGGUGGCGAAGGCGGGUCUCUGGGAAACAACUGACGCUGAGGAACGAAAGCGU